RNAcentral lists this ribosomal RNA (594 nucleotides) under Trichoderma harzianum. RNAcentral describes it as "eukaryotic LSU rRNA". It matches the Rfam family "Eukaryotic large subunit ribosomal RNA", at positions 36 to 653 of the family's 3401-position model. Lineage: Eukaryota; Fungi; Ascomycota; Sordariomycetes; Hypocreales; Hypocreaceae. The record is from RNAcentral.
AAGCAUAUCAAUAAGCGGAGGAAAAGAAACCAACAGGGAUUGCCCCAGUAACGGCGAGUGAAGCGGCAACAGCUCAAAUUUGAAAUCUGGUCCCUAGGGCCCGAGUUGUAAUUUGUAGAGGAUGCUUUUGGUGAGGUGCCGCCCGAGUUCCCUGGAACGGGACGCCACAGAGGGUGAGAGCCCCGUCUGGCUGGCCGCCGAGCCUCUGUAAAGCUCCUUCGACGAGUCGAGUAGUUUGGGAAUGCUGCUCAAAAUGGGAGGUAUAUGUCUUCUAAAGCUAAAUAUUGGCCAGAGACCGAUAGCGCACAAGUAGAGUGAUCGAAAGAUGAAAAGCACCUUGAAAAGAGGGUUAAAUAGUACGUGAAAUUGUUGAAAGGGAAGCGCUUGUGACCAGACUUGGGCGCGGCGGAUCAUCCGGGGUUCUCUCCGGUGCACUUCGCCGCGUCUAGGCCAGCAUCAGUUCGUCGCGGGGGAAAAAGGCUUCGGGAACGUGGCUCCUCCGGGAGUGUUAUAGCCCGUUGCAUAAUACCCUGCGGUGGACUGAGGACCGCGCAUCUGCAAGGAUGCUGGCGUAAUGGUCACCAGCGACCCGUC